This is a long non-coding RNA of Mus musculus (house mouse), 750 nucleotides long. RefSeq annotates it as predicted gene, 39201. The record is from RefSeq and is a predicted model, not a curated record. The transcript is spliced from 3 exons. Lineage: Eukaryota; Metazoa; Chordata; Mammalia; Rodentia; Muridae.
GACAACCUGAAAGUAGAAGAGUGAUUGCUGCAUGUUACAAAGAGUAAUACAUGUGUGCUUCUUGCAAUGAUCACAAAGAAGCUUGUGAUGAAGAAUAUGUGUCAAUAAAAAAGAACUUAUGCAGGAUAAGAGAAUGCACCUGGAGAUUCUAAAAAGAGGUUUGUGUGAAGACUUGCUAGAGAAGUGGUCACUGGGAGCAGCCUUUGAGGUGAACAGCCUGGCCCCACUUUCUGUCCCAUCUCUGCGUCCUGAUCCACCUUACACACCUGAUGUCACAGCUACAAACAGCUCCUGUCACUAUGCUGUCCCAACCAUGAUGGACUGGACCCUCAAAUCAUGAGCCAAAAUAAAGCCUUCUACCUGCCUUCUUUCAUGGCAGCGUGACCUCAACACCUCUGGAGGUGAUGGGUCUCUGAGGCAGUAGAAGGCACCACAGAGCCCUGCUCAAACCCAGAGGCAAUCCCAGUCACUGACAAUGAGAUGCUCACAGACUUCCUUAGGCCUGUGGUGACAGUGGCGCUCUGACUUGAUUAAUGGUCUCUGCAUCACCUUAGGGUCCUUCCUCCUUUCCUUGAACAAUAGCUCACAGUGGCUGCUGAAUAGCUCUACUGUCCUUCAGAGCCACUCUCUGUCCUGGGACUUGUCAUGUGUAUGUCCACCUUGGUAGUUCUUUGUCCCCUCUGGCUUUUUACAACUCUCUAGCUUUGUUUAUGCUUUGGUAGUGAAAACAAUCUAUAAAAUAUGAAACUA